RNAcentral lists this long non-coding RNA (2574 nucleotides) under Salmo salar (Atlantic salmon). Its description in RNAcentral is "lncRNA (ENSSSAG00000098717.1)". Lineage: Eukaryota; Metazoa; Chordata; Actinopteri; Salmoniformes; Salmonidae. The record is from RNAcentral.
UCUUCCAUUUAAGAAUGAUGGAGACCACUGUGUUCUUGGGGACCUUUAAUGCUGCAGAAUUUAUUUUGGUACCCUUCCCCAGAUCUGUUCCUCAUCACAAUCCUGUCUCGGAACUCUACAGACAAUUCCUUCGAACUCAUGCCUUGGUUUUUGCUAUGACAUGCACUGUCAACUGUGUGUCCUUUUAUAAACCGGGUAUUUGAGUUUCCAAAUCAUGUCCAAUCAAUUGAAUAUACCACAAGUGGACUCCAUUCAAGUUGUAUAGACAGCUCAAGGAUGAUCAAUGGAAACAGGAUGCACCUGAGCUCAAUUUCGAGUCUCAUAGCAAAGGGUCUGAAUACUUAUGUAAAUAUGAUUAUUAUUUUUUUUUUUAUACAUUUGCUAACAUUUCUAAAAACCUAUUUUCACUUUGCCAUUAUGGGGUAUUGUGUGUAGAUUGAUGAGGAUAAAAAUUCCUUUAAUUUAUUUACUAUCUCAUCUCUGUACCCAACACAUACAAUUAUCUGUAAGGUCUCUGUCUAGCAGUGCAUUUCAAACACAGAUUCAACCACAAAGACCAGGGAGGUUUUCUAAUGCCUUGCAAAGAAGGGCACCAAUUGGUAAUUGUUUUUAAAUAAAAGCAGACAUUGAAUAUCCCUUUGAGCAUGGUGAAGUUAUGAAUUACACUUUUUAUGGUGUAUCAAUACACCCAGUCACUACAAAGUUAAAGGCGUCCUUUCUAACUCAGUUGCCUGAGAGGAAGGAAACCGCUCAGGGAUUUCACCAUGAGGCCAAUGGUGACUUUAAAAGAGUUAACAGAGUUUAAUGGCUGUGAUAGGAGAAAACUGAGGAUGGAUCAACAACAUUGUAGUUACUCCACAAUACUUACCUGAUUGACAGAGCAAAAAGAAAGAAGCCUGUACAGUAUAAAAAAUAUUCCAUAACAUGCAUCCUGUUUGCAACAAGGCACUAACUAAAGUAAUAUUGCAGAAAAUGUGGCAGAGCAAUUAACUUUUUGUCCUGAAUACAAAAUGUUAUGUUUGGGGCAAAUCCAAUACAACACAUUACUGAGUACCACUCUUCAUAUUUUCAAGCAUAGUGGUGGCUGCAUCCUGUUAUGGGUAUUCUUGUUACCAUUAAGGAUGGGGAGUUUUACAGGAUAAAAAAGCAAUGGAAUGGAGAUAAGCACAGGCAAAAUCCUAGAGAAAAAUCUGGGAUAGUCUGCUUUCCACCAGACAAUGGGAGAUGAUUUCACCUUUCAGCAGGACAAUAACCUAAAACACAAGGCCAAACCUACACUGGAGUUGCUUACCAAGAAGACAGUGAAUGUUCCUGAGUGGCUGAGUUACAGUUCUGACUUAAAUCCACUUUAAAAUCUAUGGCAUGACCUGAAAAUGGUUGUCUAGCAAUUCUCAACAACCAAUUUGACAGAGCUUGAUAAAUUUUUUAAAUAGAAAUGGGCAAAUGUUGCACAGUCCAGGUGUGGAAAGCUCUUAGAGAUUUACAUAGAAAGACUCAUAGCUGUAAUCACUGCCAAAGGUGCUUCUACAAAGUAUUGACUCAGGGGUGUGAAUACUUAUGUAAAUGAGAGAUUUCUGUAUUUCAUGUUUUUGCUUUGUCAUUAUGGGGUAUUGUGUGUAGACAGGACUACGGACCAACAACCCUCCUUCUUUCUCCACUGGGGCCCAAUGAGCCCAUAGACAGCUCUACACACACACUCACACACACUCACUCACACUCACUCACACACACACAUAUCUCUGGGGAACAGGACUGAGUCGGAUGAACUCACUCUGCUUCAGAGGUUUCAGUGUUUCUGUUUCGUUGUUUGUUUGUUAGCUUGUAUGUUUGGUUUAUUGGUUGUACUUCCUGUGAGUCGUGGGCUAAAGCGCCGCCGGAUCUCUGGAACAUUCUAGAACACUUUGGAACAUUCUGGAACAUUCAACAUUCCAACUACUGCCACCAUACCGCUGACAGCUGAGAGCCCGCUAAGGCCUACAUGCCCGCCCCUCUGGGUUUGGGUCUGUACUGGUCUGGACCAGAUCAGACCGGAUUGUAUCGGAUCUGACCAUGCAUUGAAGCACUUUUUAGUUCCCACCAACAUCACACUCAACCCUUUUCUCUUUUAAUAUGAGUCAAGUUCUUUAUAGUAUAUCCCAGCAAACAGAGGACAUCUCUAGGACAUUAAGCGAUGUUCCCAUUAGGUUUUUUUUAGGGUUUCAGCAAGACGUUAUCCAUAAGGGGACAUCAGUGCAGGUCCCGGUUUGGUCGCAGUGUAAUGUUAUAAUAUGUUUUUUUUAUGUCCACAAGGGAACUUUAUGAACAGGUUCCUGUUUGGUUCUGGCAACCGGGAACUAAACAAAACCUCCACAGGACCAUGACACAAUGUCUUGACGACCAUUUCGUGAUGUUCCCAGGAAGUCCUAAGGACACAUUUUUGUUUCCAGUAUAAGUGUGGGAAAUUAUACAGAAACAAACAGGAAGAUUUGUGGGAAAAUCUUUUGUUUUACAUUUCUGUCCCACACACAGACACAUACACACCUGCCCUCCCUUGGAUGACAAAAAAAGGAAUCGAGAAAAGCAAUGAAUGAUGGG